This is a long non-coding RNA of Morus notabilis, 1198 nucleotides long. RefSeq lists it as uncharacterized. The record is from RefSeq and is a predicted model, not a curated record. The transcript is spliced from 5 exons. NCBI's taxonomy places the organism in Eukaryota, Viridiplantae, Streptophyta, Magnoliopsida, Rosales, Moraceae.
AUUUAUUUUGAACAGAGGAACACAAACUAGCGGAUGUGGGAUUGUUUCCUUGGGCGUCAGAGUCUUUGCAAAUAUUUUGAAAUUUCUUCCGUUAUUGGGCAUCGACAUUGUUUAGGCAUUGCUCCUUUCGUCAUUUUGGUGUGGUAGUCGUUCUUUCCUUGGGCAUUCAUAACUGGGUGAGUUAUAAUAUGAAAUUCCUACAAAUUUUCCUUAAUUUCUUUCAGCAUUUGAUCUGACAUUUCUUCUUGUUAUCUCCGCCUGUUCUACUUCCACUGAUGUUUUUCGUGAGAUUAAAGAAAUUAGCGUUUAGUUGUACAUCACAAAGCUAUUUUAUGCCUUGAAUUUCUGGGCUUCUUGAGCCAUGAACCCUAGUUAGAUUCCCGGGCUUCCUUGUUUCCACGUCUCGGGAGGAAAAACCUGCAGAUGUGGUAUGAUUUUCGAAGAGCAACCAGGAUUGCAAGUGGUCGAAGAAUGUUGUUCCCUCGCUUCAAUAAUUAACAAUGCCGAUAAAUUGGUUUCACUUUAUUACCUCCCAGACUGUUUGAAGCACCGACUGAGUCAGUUACUCUGCGAUUCUCGAAGAAUGAAUGCUCAUGUUUUUAAGCUUCUGCUUCAAGGGUCCCCAACAGAGGUUUGCGUGAAGGAUUGUUCUUGGCUAAUAGAGGAAGAGUUCACAAAAUGUUUGUAGAACUUUGAUCCGAGCAACUUAAUGGUGUUAUUUUUCAGCCCCUGCACUUAGAUCUCCCAACCUCACCGAGUGCUCCCUUCUCACCUCCUCGAGUAUUGACACCUUAGCUAACUCAUUGGGUUUGAUCCUGAGAGAGCUGUAUCUUGAUCUACACUUAGAAAGCUGAGGGAUGAGAUUGCAAAGUUAUAGUGUGGGUGGAUGUAGCAAAAAAACCGGACGCUUUCUUGUGGACGCCAAUGAGUGAUAUGAGGACCAUUGAAGAAGCAAUUUCAAGUAAUGUGGCUUGACUUGCUGAUAAAAUUUUAAAGGGCAAUGAAGACUCAUGCUUUCUCCAACUAUCUACAUACCAAUACAUGUAAGCCAUGCUCUCUGUCUUACAAGUUUGACAUUAAAUUUUUGUCUAGUGCAUCAUUGAAGUCAUGUUUCCUCUUCACUGCAAAACAUAUGUGAAUGUGGCAACGUAGUUGUGAAUGGUGUAACUAGUCUUUGCUUUAUUUAUAGGUUAAAUGG